GGAUGCGAUCAUACCAGCACUAAUGCACCGGAUCCCAUCAGAACUCCGAAGUUAAGCGUGCUUGGGCGAGAGUAGUACUAGGAUGGGUGACCCCUUGGGAAGUCCUCGUGUUGCAUCCC
Molecule: ribosomal RNA, 119 nt
Filed under: Ipomoea nil (Japanese morning glory)
Lineage: Eukaryota; Viridiplantae; Streptophyta; Magnoliopsida; Solanales; Convolvulaceae
Also listed under: 1 other name
Source: RNAcentral